CUGUUGUAGAAGUUCAUCCGGAAUCCAUCCGCUAUGGAAGUUCAGGCAGAAUUCGAUUCUUGUAGAAGUCCGGAUGGGGAUCGCUUUUUGAAGAAGCUCAGCUAUAGUCCGCCUAUAACAGAAGUUCGAAAGGAAUUCGUUUACAGUAGAAGCUCGGAUGGAAUUUGCUUUAGUAGAGAUCCGGAGUAGACCGCUCGUCAUAGAAGUUCGGAGU
This 214-nucleotide long non-coding RNA is filed under the name Elaeis guineensis (African oil palm). Its description in RNAcentral is "long non-coding RNA (EGUI_LNC076401)". The record is from RNAcentral. Lineage: Eukaryota; Viridiplantae; Streptophyta; Magnoliopsida; Arecales; Arecaceae.